AGUCGAGCGAACGGACGAGAAGCUUGCUUCUCUGAUGUUAGCGGCGGACGGGUGAGUAACACGUGGAUAACCUACCUAUAAGACUGGGAUAACUUCGGGAAACCGGAGCUAAUACCGGAUAAUAUUUUGAACCGCAUGGUUCAAAAGUAAAAGACGGUCUUGCUGUCACUUAUAGAUGGAUCCGCGCUGCAUUAGCUAGUUGGUAAGGUAACGGCUUACCAAGGCAACGAUGCAUAGCCGACCUGAGAGGGUGAUCGGCCACACUGGAACUGAGACACGGUCCAGACUCCUACGGGAGGCAGCAGUAGGGAAUCUUCCGCAAUGGGCGAAAGCCUGACGGAGCAACGCCGCGUGAGUGAUGAAGGUCUUCGGAUCGUAAAACUCUGUUAUUAGGGAAGAACAUAUGUGUAAGUAACUGUGCACAUCUUGACGGUACCUAAUCAGAAAGCCACGGCUAACUACGUGCCAGCAACCGCGGUAAUACGUAGGUGGCAAGCGUUAUCCGGAAUUAUUGGGCGUAAAGCGCGCGUAGGCGGUUUUUUAAGUCUGAUGUGAAAGCCCACGGCUCAACCGUGGAGGGUCAUUGGAAACUGGAAAACUUGAGUGCAGAAGAGGAAAGUGGAAUUCCAUGUGUAGCGGUGAAAUGCGCAGAGAUAUGGAGGAACACCAGUGGCGAAGGCGACUUUCUGGUCUGUAACUGACGCUGAUGUGCGAAAGCGUGGGGAUCAAACAGGA
Molecule: ribosomal RNA, 735 nt
Filed under: uncultured Staphylococcus sp.
Lineage: Bacteria; Bacillati; Bacillota; Bacilli; Caryophanales; Staphylococcaceae
Description: bacterial SSU rRNA
Rfam family: Bacterial small subunit ribosomal RNA
Source: RNAcentral